GCAACAGUACCUAAAUCUGCUAUUUGUACCGGGAAAUUGUUGCUAAAAACCAUGCAUCCGAAAUCGAGCACCUCUUGAGACUGUAAAUGUGAUAUAUUGGAGCUGACCUGGAAUAUAAUCUGCUAUUGAGAUGUGUGUUUAUCCAGUCCAGAGUUAAGCACUGCUGAGUUGUGUUUCUGAUUCACCGUAUUCUUGGAGUUCUGAAGCUGGAGCAGUAUGUCGAAUGCAGACAGUGGCACUGCCUAUUGGCUUGCACCAGAAUACGUCACAGUUUGUUU
This is a long non-coding RNA of Rhea pennata, 278 nucleotides long. RefSeq lists it as uncharacterized. NCBI's taxonomy places the organism in Eukaryota, Metazoa, Chordata, Aves, Rheiformes, Rheidae. The record is from RefSeq and is a predicted model, not a curated record. The transcript has 3 exons.